GGGUCAAAUGAUGAUGAAUAAACUGCACCAAUAUGAUGGAGCAAUGCUCCUGUGAUUCUUACUAUUUAAGUCCCUGAUAAUACC
Small nucleolar RNA from Lolium perenne, 84 nucleotides. RefSeq annotates it as small nucleolar RNA Z199. The record is from RefSeq and is a predicted model, not a curated record. NCBI's taxonomy places the organism in Eukaryota, Viridiplantae, Streptophyta, Magnoliopsida, Poales, Poaceae.